Long non-coding RNA from Mustela lutreola (European mink), 1442 nucleotides. RefSeq lists it as uncharacterized. The transcript is spliced from 3 exons. The record is from RefSeq and is a predicted model, not a curated record. NCBI's taxonomy places the organism in Eukaryota, Metazoa, Chordata, Mammalia, Carnivora, Mustelidae.
GCCACCCGCCGCGGCACCGGAGCGCGCCCCGUCGGCGACUGGCACCGGCGAGCCCUUGGCUCCCCCCUCCGGGCCUGAACUGCUCCCAGGGACCGCUCCGUCGCGGUAGGAGGACCCGGGGAAGCGGGAAGGGGAGGUUCUCAGCAGGGGCGGUCGUAGCCUGAGCCUCUUCCUGCCCCCCAGCAGAGGGGUCCCGUCUGUGCUAUGGGGCCUGGACACUGGUCCCUGCCUACUUCCCGCCUACCUUGCAGCUAAGACUCCGGGAUGCACCCCGAGAACGCCCCCGUCACGCCCCGUCGGCGACGGACCCCAGGCUCGCAGGGACCCAGGGCUGGAGAAAUGGCUGAUUCUAGGGCUAGAGCCGAGAAAACACCACACCAGUCUGGAGACACUUCCAGCGGCAGAAAUACUUAAAACAAGCUGGAAGGACUCGGAAGCCAACCUCAAAGAACUCUCCUUGGCCACAGCUGGAACAAUUCGAGAACAAAGUGAAUAACCAUAGCAUUGGAUUAUGACCCCAGCGAUGAAAUCAAGUCCACACGAGUCCGUACUGAUUAAAAAUACAAGUUCUGGCAGCACAUCUCAAUUCAGCUUUCCAAAUGACCACACCGUCCAGAGAAUGGAGAGGAAGUGUGCUCUUUUCUUCCUGGGUUUUUUCUGCUGGGCAGUUUCUCCUGCCACUGUCCCGCGGGAAUCAUCUUCAAUUCCCAUAUUGGGACACCUGUUUCCUCAAUCUUGAGUCUUCCUUUUUUCUUUUUAUCUUUCUUCUUUUUUUUUUUUUUUUAUUUACUCCCUUGUUUUGGUUGAGUGCAUCCUGCAAUAACUUUCUAAGAACAUAAGAGCACGGGAGAUGACAUUUUUUAGUCCCUCUGCAUUUUGAAAUGUCUCUGCCUGCUCCUUGCACUUGGUCACUAUUUUGGCUGGAAAUAGGGGUCUGGGUUCGAAAUCCUAUUCUGUCAGAAUGUUGAGGCUACAGAUCCAUUGUCUCUUUAUUUCCAGUGUCUUUGAAUUUGCUGCUUGUGCCACCAGGAAUGCACUCCUUUCCUCCUCAUCCUUUUGAUACCACAAUGGCCAUUUCAAGGGUAAACCAAUAGCUCUGGACGGAAAAACCCAGCCAAGUCCAUGACUGCUUUGACCGAUUCUGGCCAUCAAAUGCAGGUGGAAGCGGAGUCACUUCUGUACAUCAGUCACUUCUGAGCCGAGGCAUCGAAAAGCCCACACAUGCUUCUCCGGUCUCCCUGGACGUGUUUGUUCCUGCAGCAAAACUUGACUUAUGCUGGGGCGCCUGGGUGGCUCAGUGGGUUAAAGCCUCUGCCUUCCGCUCAGGUCAUGAUCCCAGGGUCCUGGGAUCAAGCCCCACAUCGGGCUCUCUGCUGAGCAGAGAGCCUGCUUCCCUUCCUCUCCCUCUGCCUGCCUCUCUGCCUACUUGUGAUCUCCCUCUC